Molecule: ribosomal RNA, 253 nt
Filed under: uncultured bacterium
Lineage: Bacteria
Description: partial 16S ribosomal RNA
Rfam family: Bacterial small subunit ribosomal RNA
Source: RNAcentral
UACAGAGACUGCAAGCGUUGCUCGGAAUCACUGGGCGUAAAGCGCACGUAGGCGGAUUGUUAAGUCAGGGGUGAAAUCCUGGAGCUCAACUCCAGAACUGCCUUUGAUACUGGCGAUCUUGAGUCCGGGAGAGGUGAGUGGAACUGCGAGUGUAGAGGUGAAAUUCGUAGAUAUUCGCAAGAACACCAGUGGCGAAGGCGGCUCACUGGCCCGGUACUGACGCUGAGGUGCGAAAGCGUGGGGAGCAAACAGG